Molecule: ribosomal RNA, 837 nt
Filed under: Triticum aestivum (bread wheat)
Lineage: Eukaryota; Viridiplantae; Streptophyta; Magnoliopsida; Poales; Poaceae
Description: partial small subunit ribosomal RNA
Source: RNAcentral
AUGUUGUUUAUAAUUAGUUGUUAUAGCAUAUUGGCAUAUCACAUUCGUUUAUCUUUUUAUAAUGAAUCAUGGAUAAUGGUAUUGGACCUUACUAAUGUGCAUCCUACUAUUUUACCCUAUAUUUUAGGUGACUACCGAAUUCACUUGGCGGGGCAGGCCUCACAACACCAAAAAUAUACUUGCACACUUCAUGCAGCAUUGGCAACAAUGGAGUCUUUGAAGAAAUUCCAGUACGCAGAAUUUCAGCCACCAAAAGAUUUUGAAUGGAUUUUGUCGGCUAUAAAACUUACCGCAGAAUAUAAGACUAUCACUGAGAAGAACAUUGGAGAAGAAGCGGAUAUGGCACAAAGGGGUUGGAGACGCCUUGAGGCUGGUCUAUACACUCUUCAAGAGAUUGGCGCGGAAGGACACAAUACUCUGCAGCCUAAGAAAGACCCGAUACGUUUCAAGCUUAAGUCCUAUUCAAGAAUUGAUAUCAACGAAAACGAAGGCGAAGGCCUGAAAGUCGCAGUUCGUGAUGUAAGAGCUGGAACAGUUUUCUUGAUAUAUUUCAGAAUUUCCCGAAACUACUUCACCUUGAAGCCUGGAGAGAUUUACCACUACGACGCCACGAAGGCUUAUGUAAGCCCGUCAUUUUCCAUCCCUGCUUCUCAUGUGGUAAUGAUGAUUGGGUCAGGUGAUACUGUGAUAUGCACAGAGCUGCCUAACGGAGGUACACAAUGUGAGAACAGUGUUCAUCUGAAUUUCCAGAACAGUGCAGGGAAACUGUUCGGUGACGAUGGCUUUGGUAAGGUUGGGUCCAGCUCUGUGAAGGGCCUAUACAAAAUCACUGUCUGA